AAUGAACGCUGGCGGCAGGCCUAACACAUGCAAGUCGAACGGAUCCUUCGGGAUUAGUGGCGGACGGGUGAGUAACGCGUGGGAACGUGCCCUUUGGUUCGGAAUAGCCUCGGGAAACUGGGAGUAAUACCGGAUAAGCCCUUCGGGGGAAAGAUUUAUCGCCAAAGGAUCGGCCCGCGUUGGAUUAGGUAGUUGGUGGGGUAAUGGCCUACCAAGCCGACGAUCCAUAGCUGGUUUGAGAGGAUGAUCAGCCACACUGGGACUGAGACACGGCCCAGACUCCUACGGGAGGCAGCAGUGGGGAAUCUUAGACAAUGGGGGAAACCCUGAUCUAGCCAUGCCGCGUGAUCGAUGAAGGCCUUAGGGUUGUAAAGAUCCUUCAGUUGGGAAGAUAAUGACGGUACCAACAGAAGAAGCCCCGGCUAACUCCGUGCCAGCCGCCGCGGUAA
This 449-nucleotide ribosomal RNA is filed under the name uncultured bacterium. RNAcentral's name for it is "partial 16S ribosomal RNA". It matches the Rfam family "Bacterial small subunit ribosomal RNA", at positions 29 to 523 of the family's 1533-position model. The record is from RNAcentral.